GAUGAACGCUGGCGGCGUGCCUAAUACAUGCAAGUCGAGCGAACAGACGAGGAGCUUGCUCCUCUGACGUUAGCGGCGGACGGGUGAGUAACACGUGGAUAACCUACCUAUAAGACUGGGAUAACUUCGGGAAACCGGAGCUAAUACCGGAUAAUAUAUUGAACCGCAUGGUUCAAUAGUGAAAGACGGUUUUGCUGUCACUUAUAGAUGGAUCCGCGCCGCAUUAGCUAGUUGGUAAGGUAACGGCUUACCAAGGCAACGAUGCGUAGCCGACCUGAGAGGGUGAUCGGCCACACUGGAACUGAGACACGGUCCAGACUCCUACGGGAGGCAGCAGUAGGGAAUCUUCCGCAAUGGGCGAAAGCCUGACGGAGCAACGCCGCGUGAGUGAUGAAGGUCUUCGGAUCGUAAAGCUCUGUUAUUGGGGAAGAACAAAUGUGUAAGUAACUAUGCACGUCUUGACGGUACCUAAUCAGAAAGCCACGGCUAACUACGUG
Molecule: ribosomal RNA, 497 nt
Filed under: uncultured bacterium
Lineage: Bacteria
Description: partial 16S ribosomal RNA
Rfam family: Bacterial small subunit ribosomal RNA
Source: RNAcentral